GAUGAACGCUAGCUACAGGCUUAACACAUGCAAGUCGAGGGGCAGCAUGAGGUCAGCUUGCUGACUUUGAUGGCGACCGGCGCACGGGUGAGUAACGCGUAUCCAACCUGCCCAUAACUAAGGGAUAAUCCGUAGAAAUGCGGUCUAAUACCUUAUGUUGUCCGAGGAAGACAUCUGAUUCGGACGAAAGAUUUAUCGGUUAUGGAUGGGGAUGCGUCUGAUUAGCUUGUUGGCGGGUAACGGCCCACCAAGGCGACGAUCAGUAGGGGUUCUGAGAGGAAGGUCCCCCACAUUGGAACUGAGACACGGUCCAAACUCCUACGGGAGGCAGCAGUGAGGAAUAUUGGUCAAUGGACGAGAGUCUGAACCAGCCAAGUAGCGUGAAGGAUGAAGGUCCUACGGAUUGUAAACUUCUUUUAUAAGGGAAUAAACCCUCCCACGUGUGGGAGCUUGUAUGUACCUUAUGAAUAAGCAUCGGCUAACUCCGUG
Molecule: ribosomal RNA, 489 nt
Filed under: uncultured bacterium
Lineage: Bacteria
Description: bacterial SSU rRNA
Rfam family: Bacterial small subunit ribosomal RNA
Source: RNAcentral